GACGAACGCUGGCGGCGUGCUUAACACAUGCAAGUCGAACGGAAAGGCCCUGCUUUUGUGGGGUGCUCGAGUGGCGAACGGGUGAGUAACACGUGAGUAACCUGCCCUUGACUUUGGGAUAACUUCAGGAAACUGGGGCUAAUACCGGAUAGGAGCUCCUGCUGCAUGGUGGGGGUUGGAAAGUUUCGGCGGUUGGGGAUGGACUCGCGGCUUAUCAGCUUGUUGGUGGGGUAGUGGCUUACCAAGGCUUUGACGGGUAGCCGGCCUGAGAGGGUGACCGGCAACAUUGGUACUGAGAUACGGCCCAGACUCCUACGGGAGGCAGCAGUGGGGAAUAUUGCACAAUGGGCGGAAGCCUGAUGCAGCAACGCCGCGUGCGGGAUGACGGCCUUCGGGUUGUAAACCGCUUUCGCCUGUGACGAAGCGUGAGUGACGGUAAUGGGUAAAGAAGCACCGGCUAACUACGUG
This 468-nucleotide ribosomal RNA is filed under the name uncultured bacterium. RNAcentral describes it as "partial 16S ribosomal RNA". It matches the Rfam family "Bacterial small subunit ribosomal RNA", at positions 28 to 507 of the family's 1533-position model. The record is from RNAcentral.